Non-coding RNA from Anas platyrhynchos (mallard), 464 nucleotides. NCBI's taxonomy places the organism in Eukaryota, Metazoa, Chordata, Aves, Anseriformes, Anatidae. The record is from RefSeq and is a predicted model, not a curated record.
AAGGCAAGUCAUUUAGCAAUGAAAAUCCAGGGAUCUCAACUUCUGUGUCAUACUGGAAUAUCAGCUGCUGAGCGUGACGUGACUUUCCCGAGGUGACAGAGUGAGUCAGUGGCACAGCUGCAAACACAAAUUGUCAUUGGUUCCUAGGUCUGCCUCAUCCCUGCCAUGUGCAGAUACCACAGAAGAGCUCACUGCUUAAACCGCCUGGUGUUUGAGCUAGGAGGACGCACAGACACACUGGACCUAGAAAGACUAGAAAAACACUGCAGGUCUCAUCCUCAGACAUCUUUCUGUGAGAAAUGAGGGCCGAUCCUGGGGCCAGAUGGAUUCCUAACACUCGGGCUGCAAAAAUAGGAUCAUGCUGUUACUCACCGAAUUUUACCAGACACUGCAGUUUCUACAAGGUGAGUUUUUCCUAAGAAAAAAUAGCAUUGGUUUGUAUUUAUUAAACACACACACACAAA